Molecule: ribosomal RNA, 510 nt
Filed under: uncultured bacterium
Lineage: Bacteria
Description: partial 16S ribosomal RNA
Rfam family: Bacterial small subunit ribosomal RNA
Source: RNAcentral
GACGAACGCUGGCGGCGUGCUUAACACAUGCAAGUCGAACGAAGAGCGAUGGAAGCUUGCUUCUAUCAAUCUUAGUGGCGAACGGGUGAGUAACGCGUAAUCAACCUGCCCUUCAGAGGGGGACAACAGUUGGAAACGACUGCUAAUACCGCAUACGAUCUAAUCUCGGCAUCGAGGAUAGAUGAAAGGUGGCCUCUACAUGUAAGCUAUCACUGAAGGAGGGGAUUGCGUCUGAUUAGCUAGUUGGAGGGGUAACGGCCCACCAAGGCGAUGAUCAGUAGCCGGUCUGAGUGGAUGGACGGCCACAGUGGGACUGAGACACGGCCCAGACUCCUACGGGAGGCAGCAGUGGGGAAUCUUCCGCAAUGGACGAAAGUCUGACGGAGCAACGCCGCGUGAGCGAGGACGGCCUUCGGGUUGUAAAGCUCUGUUAAUCGGGACGAAAGGCCUUCUUGCGAAUAGUGAGAAGGAUUGACGGUACCGGAAGAGAAAGCCACGGCUAACUACGUG